CAAAUGGUUCUUUUCAGGACUACCAAAAUGAGUCCAAAAAGAGUUAU
Aedes aegypti (yellow fever mosquito) is the source of this 47-nucleotide non-coding RNA. The record is from Rfam. Lineage: Eukaryota; Metazoa; Arthropoda; Insecta; Diptera; Culicidae.